Molecule: ribosomal RNA, 539 nt
Filed under: uncultured bacterium
Lineage: Bacteria
Description: bacterial SSU rRNA
Rfam family: Bacterial small subunit ribosomal RNA
Source: RNAcentral
AGAGUUUGAUCCUGGCUCAGAGCGAACGCUGGCGGCGUACUUAACACAUGCAAGUCGAACGGGGAUCUUCGGUGUAGCAAUACAUCGGCGGUCCUAGUGGCGCACGGGUGAGUAACACGUGGGUAACCUGUCCUUGAGUUCGGGAUACCCUUUCGAAAGGAAGGCUAAUACCGGAUACGUUCCUCGGGUUGCGAAAUCUGGGGAGGAAAGGUGGCGAAAGCUACCGCUCUUGGAGGGGCUCGCGGCCUAUCAGCUAGUUGGUGAGGUAACGGCUCACCAAGGCUAUGACGGGUAGCUGGUCUGAGAGGACGACCAGCCACACGGGAACUGAGACACGGUCCCGACUCCUACGGGAGGCAGCAGUGGGGAAUUUUCCGCAAUGGGCGAAAGCCUGACGGAGUGACGCCGCGUGGGGGACGAAGGCCUUCGGGUUGUAAACCCCUGUCAGAGGGAAAGAAGGGUCGCCUGGCUAAUAUCCAGGUGAUCUGACGGUACCUCCAAAGGAAGCCCCGGCCAACUUUUUGCCAGCAGCCGCGGUA